RNAcentral lists this ribosomal RNA (468 nucleotides) under uncultured bacterium. RNAcentral describes it as "partial 16S ribosomal RNA". It matches the Rfam family "Bacterial small subunit ribosomal RNA", at positions 28 to 507 of the family's 1533-position model. The record is from RNAcentral.
GACGAACGCUGGCGGCGUGCUUAACACAUGCAAGUCGAACGGAAAGGCCCUGCUUUUGUGGGGUGCUCGAGUGGCGAACGGGUGAGUAACACGUGAGUAACCUGCCCUUGACUUUGGGAUAACUUCAGGAAACUGGGGCUAAUACCGGAUAGGAGCUCCUGCUGCAUGGUGGGGGUUGGAAAGUUUCGGCGGUUGGGGAUGGACUCGCGGCUUAUCAGCUUGUUGGUGGGGUAGUGGCUUACCAAGGGUUUGACGGGUAGCCGGCCUGAGAGGGUUACCGGCCACAUUGGGACUGAGAUACGGCCCAGACUCCUACGGGAGGCAGCAGUGGGGAAUAUUGCACAAUGGGCGGAAGCCUGAUGCAGCAACGCCGCGUGCGGGAUGACGGCCUUCGGGUUGUAAACCGCUUUCGCCUGUGACGAAGCGUGAGUGACGGUAAUGGGUAAAGAAGCACCGGCUAACUACGUG